UGCCAGACUCCUACGGGAGGCAGCAGUGGGGAAUAUUGCACAAUGGGGGAAACCCUGAUGCAGCGACGCCGCGUGAGUGAAGAAGUAAUUCGUUAUGUAAAGCUCUAUCAGCAGGGAAGAAAAUGACGGUACCUGAGUAAGAAGCCCCGGCUAACUACGUGCCAGCAGCCGCGGUAAUACGUAGGGAGCGAGCGUUGUCCGGAAUUACUGGGUGUAAAGGGAGCGUAGGCGGGGAUGCAAGUUGGGUGCCAAAACUACCGGCUCAACUGGUAGUCGCACUCAAAACUGCAGCUCUUGAGUGAAGUAGAGGCAGGCGGAAUUCCUAGUGUAGCGGUGAAAUGCGUAGAUAUUAGGAGGAACACCAGUGGCGAAGGCGGCCUGCUGGGCUUUUACUGACGCUGAGGCUCGAAAGUGUGGGGAGCAAACAGGAUUAGAUACCCGAGUA
This 445-nucleotide ribosomal RNA is filed under the name uncultured bacterium. RNAcentral describes it as "bacterial SSU rRNA". It matches the Rfam family "Bacterial small subunit ribosomal RNA", at positions 329 to 792 of the family's 1533-position model. The record is from RNAcentral.